AGUGAACGCUGGCGGUAGGCCUAACACAUGCAAGUCGAACGGCAGCACAGUAAGAGCUUGCUCUUACGGGUGGCGAGUGGCGGACGGGUGAGGAAUACAUCGGAAUCUACUUUUUCGUGGGGGAUAACGUAGGGAAGCUUACGCUAAUACCGCAUACGACCUACGGGUGAAAGCAGGGGAUCUUCGGACCUUGCGCGAUUGAAUGAGCCGAUGUCGGAUUAGCUAGUUGGCGGGGUAAAGGCCCACCAAGGCGACGAUCCGUAGCUGGUCUGAGAGGAUGAUCGGCCACACGGGAACUGAGACACGGUCCAGACUCCUACGAGAGGCAGCAGUGGGGAAUAUUGGACAAUGGGCGCAAGCCUGAUCCAGCCAUACCGCGUGGGUGAAGAAGGCCUUCGGGUUGUAAAGCCCUUUUGUUGGGAAAGAAAAGCAGCAGGUUAAUACCCCGCUGUUCUGACGGUACCCAAAGAAUAAGCACCGGCUAACUUCGUG
This 492-nucleotide ribosomal RNA is filed under the name uncultured bacterium. RNAcentral's name for it is "partial 16S ribosomal RNA". It matches the Rfam family "Bacterial small subunit ribosomal RNA", at positions 29 to 507 of the family's 1533-position model. The record is from RNAcentral.